RNAcentral lists this unclassified non-coding RNA (242 nucleotides) under Hevea brasiliensis (rubber tree). Lineage: Eukaryota; Viridiplantae; Streptophyta; Magnoliopsida; Malpighiales; Euphorbiaceae. The record is from RNAcentral.
CAGGGGUGAUUUUUUUUAUCCAACCAACCAACUCAUGAAGAAUACAUUAGGCAUGUGUGCUUACACAACAAAUGCAUCAAAAUUAACAACUUUAAACCAAAGAAACACCUUUAGGGACCUCCCAUCCAAUUCAAUUCAGUACAAUCGCAAUACGCUCCUUGCAAUAGACUGUGCAUGAGUGGACUUGCUCUUCCCCCACCCACCUCUCCAGCUACUUCUCAUCGGUGUCAAGUAGAACCUUA